RNAcentral lists this ribosomal RNA (422 nucleotides) under uncultured bacterium. Its description in RNAcentral is "partial 16S ribosomal RNA". It matches the Rfam family "Bacterial small subunit ribosomal RNA", at positions 360 to 774 of the family's 1533-position model. The record is from RNAcentral.
AAUCUUCGUCAAUGGACGAAAGUCUGACCGAGCAAUGCCGCGUGAGUGAAGAAGGUCUUCGGAUUGUAAAACUCUGUAAUUAGGGAAGAAAGAUAUAUGGAGGGAAUGCCCUAUAAGUGACUGUACCUAAUGAGAAAGCCACGGCUAACUACCUGCCUGCAGCCGCGGUAAUCCGUAGGUGGCGAGCGUUGUCCGGAAUUAUUGGGCGUAAAGCGUGCGUAGGCGGUCUAUUAAGGCUGAUUUGAAAGCCAAUGGCUUAACCAUGGAGGGUGAUUGGAAACUGGUAGACUUGAGAGAAGGAGAGGAAGGUGGAAUUCCACGUGUAGCGGUGAAAUGCGUAGAUAUGUGGAGGAACACCAGUGGCGAAGGCGGCCUUCUGGCCUUUUUCUGACGCUGAUGCACGAAAGCGUGGGUAGCAAACA